This is a long non-coding RNA of Chinchilla lanigera (long-tailed chinchilla), 613 nucleotides long. RefSeq lists it as uncharacterized. The transcript has 4 exons. The record is from RefSeq and is a predicted model, not a curated record. Lineage: Eukaryota; Metazoa; Chordata; Mammalia; Rodentia; Chinchillidae.
AGAGGCGUUGAUACUUUUGUAAACGCUUUAGGCGAUCCUGCUGCGCUGCCAAGCCUAAGCGAUUUGGGGACGCGUGUAAGGAGAGGCCAAGACUGACCACCGCUGUCCUGGUCAGGGGCCCCCAGCACAGCUGCGCCUGAGAACUCAGCACUCUCAGCCCUGCAGUGGACAGCAGCCGCUGCUCCUGCGCUUUCCCAAGCCUCGUCCUUGGGCAGCCAGGACCGCUUCAGCUCUCUCAAGCCUUGCUCUUGGCAGGAAGCCUCCAGCCUCUCGCAGAACUCCCCCGCCCCCAUGACCCUCCAAAAGACCCCAUCGCUUAUGCAGAGCUGGUCUGGUGUCAGUGCCACAGGGGCCCACUCAGGCCAGCAGGACUUGGGAUUCUGCUACUUGCCGGAGCGACAGGAAACAAAACACUGUCAAGUGCCUCCAGGCUCCUGCUUCCCCUCUCGUAAGAAGAAUCCCGACUAAGUCCCAGAGUUCUGAUCUGAGGCUGCGGCCUGCGCGGAGAGCCACGGCGCCUGCGGACCGCGCCCCGCACCCAGCAGACUCAGGAAUGUCCUCUGCCCCACGGUUUUGGCUUUCUUAGAAACUGCUCUUGGUUAACAUCAUCUAU